UGCUGAAGGGUUUCCAUGUUUUCUGGUCUGGCAAAUCACUUAUCACAAAUCAGUCCAUAGCUUUCUAUAUAUACGUUCUUUUUUCCCUCAUCUUAUUUCUUUUCCCUUGCUUUCUUUGCCCUUAUCAGUUUAAGAAGGUUUUGUUUACUCACUGAAAUUUUAAUAUAUUCCUGGAGUAAACCAUAUAUGUUUUAGUCUCCUGUGUUUAACCAGUGUUUUGCAUACUCUUUUAAAAGUCUAGCUAAUAAUUCUACAUACCAUUAUUAACCUCGUUUUAUAGAUGACCAAAACAAGGAUGGAAAAAGAUAAAUAACUUGCCCAAAGUUGUACAAAUAGUGAGUGGUAAUUCCACUUACUAAUACAAAUCAUGUUCUUUUCUUUUCAGCACACUGCCUUUUACUGCAAGACACAGUUCCUGUUUUAAGGAGUUUAUAGUUUCUGUGGGGAGAUACGACAAGUGCAUGGAUAUUAGAUAGAAUGCAUUAAAUGUCAGGAACAAGGAAAAUGGCCUAAUGUGCAAUGGGAACUCAGAGGUUUGGUGCACGGAUGCUUACAAGAGUCUGCCAGGCUGUCUCUUCCUUCCGCCCACCCCUGCCUCUGACUCAGCAGUCUGAAUCCAGAGUACUUAGGAUCUCUGUGGCUGCUUGAAGCACGGGCCUAAUAGUUGGUGCCCAAAGGGUAUGUGUAACAUGCUCACAGUGAUUGAAAGGACAAGUGCCUUCAAUUUGUUCAGGUGGAGCUUCAGAGUACAUGCCUAGCAUGAGCUGAUGCUGUGCUUUGACUUAGGAAAUACAGCUGCCCAAGGCAGUAUGAAAACGCUGGCCCUCCUAAAAUGAAAAUCACCUUCAUUGUUGACAUUUUUCUUCCAUUAGUCCUUUCCUGUCCUUUUGGACAAUGGCUUAGGCCUGAUUUAGCCAUUGUCUGUAUUAGUAAGUCUUAAUCAUGCCCUGAAGAUGUGUAUGAACCAAAUAUGUUCUUUUUUAGAAAUAAUAUUUUCCCCAUCUCUUUUUCAUUCAUUUGUUCAUUCAUUUAUAGUUAAGAAAAUAUAAAUGAAUAGUUUAGUUAGUAUAGUCUUAUUUUGUGGUCAGAUAGUGCAGGUAUUUGCUCUAAGGCUGAAGUACAGAACUGUGGUCAUGCACAGUGAUUAUCAUUUAAAAAUUUAGACCUGCGUAUUUAAGGUGAUAGAAUUCCAGUUAAUUUGAUUAUCAUUGUAAUGCAACAGCAGCCAGGCAGCUUUUCUUCUGUUUAUUCUCUUCUUAAUUUUCUCUAAAUAAUGUAAUGUAAUUCAGAAGCCUUGGAGUUCCUGUCGUGGCUCAGUGGUUAAUGAAUCCUACUAGGAACCAUGAAGUUGUGGGUUCGAUCCCUGGCCUCGCUCAGUGUGUUAACGAUCCGGUGUUGCCGUGAGCUGUGGUGUAGGUCACAGAUGCAGCUUGGAUCCCACGUUGCUGUGGCUCUGGCGUAGGCCUGCGGUUACAGCUCCAAUUGGACCCCUAGCCUGGGAACCUCCAUAUGCCAUGGGUGUGGCCCUAGAAAAGACAAAAAGCCAAAAAGCCAAAAAAAAAAAAAAACUUUCAAUGCCAUGACCUGUGGUUCAAGUCACAGACGUGGCUCGGAUACUGUAUUGCUUUNAAAAAAAAAAAAAAAAAAA
This 1648-nucleotide long non-coding RNA is filed under the name Sus scrofa (pig). RNAcentral describes it as "lncRNA (ENSSSCG00030042280.1)". The record is from RNAcentral. Lineage: Eukaryota; Metazoa; Chordata; Mammalia; Artiodactyla; Suidae.